GGCCUUUUGAUAAUAAUUUAAGGUCGUGCCUGCUCAAUGAUUAAUUAAAUAGCCGCAGUAUAUUGACUGUGCAAAGGUAGCAUAAUCAUUAGUUUUUUAAUUGAAAGCUUGUAUGAAAGGUUUGAUGAAAAAAGAGCUGUCUCUGUUUAAAUUUUAAAGAAAUUUAUUUUUAAGUGAAAAAGCUUAAAUGAGAGUUGGGGACGAGAAGACCCUAUAGAGUUUAAUAUUUUAUUAAUUAAUAAAUUGUAGGAUUGUAUGAGUUAUGAUGAAGUAAAGUAUUUUGUUGGGGUGAUAGAAAAAUUUACAAAACUUUUUUUAUAUUGAAACAAUUAUUUUUGGAUAUUUGAUCUUAUAUUUUAGAUUAGAAGAUUAAAUUACCUUAGGGAUAACAGCGUUAUAUCUUUUAGAGUUCUUAUCGAAAAGGAUGAUUGCGACCUCGAUGUUGGAUUAAAAUGAGUGAGUGGCGAAGAGGCUGCUAAACUAAGUCUGUUCGACUUUUAAAAUUUUACAUGAUCUGAGUUUAGACCGGCGUGAG
This 535-nucleotide ribosomal RNA is filed under the name Torneuma torresi. RNAcentral's name for it is "partial 16S ribosomal RNA". It matches the Rfam family "Bacterial large subunit ribosomal RNA", at positions 1860 to 2625 of the family's 2925-position model. Lineage: Eukaryota; Metazoa; Arthropoda; Insecta; Coleoptera; Curculionidae. The record is from RNAcentral.